UUUGUGUCAUAACAUGUACACCAUAUUUCGCUUUCAAAUCUGUAGACACGUUUUAAUGCCAUAACAUGCUCGUAAAAAUAUUUCUGUAAGAAUUUUACACCUGGAUCUGGAUUAUGGACCAGAACAUUGGCUUGCAGUUUAUAUCUACAUGACAUUUCAACAUUAUUACAAAUCCUAUAUAAGAAUAAGAAUUUGAAUCUCUCUUCCCCUUUUUUUCAAAACAAUGAAUAAAGAAUCACCCAAUGAUAAUGAUCUAAAGAAUCACCUAAUGAUAAUGAUCUUGCUGACCAUAUGCCUGCAACCCAUACGAUAUUCCAUGACAGAAAAUGCAGUUAUCCCAAAUUAAUUGGCUGGUCAAUGCAAAUUGAUAACGCUAUAUUCUCCCAGAAAUAGCAGUCUUGCAG
This 404-nucleotide unclassified non-coding RNA is filed under the name Hevea brasiliensis (rubber tree). Lineage: Eukaryota; Viridiplantae; Streptophyta; Magnoliopsida; Malpighiales; Euphorbiaceae. The record is from RNAcentral.